RNAcentral lists this ribosomal RNA (1372 nucleotides) under uncultured bacterium. Its description in RNAcentral is "bacterial SSU rRNA". It matches the Rfam family "Bacterial small subunit ribosomal RNA", at positions 28 to 1381 of the family's 1533-position model. The record is from RNAcentral.
GAUGAACGCUGGCGGCGUGCCUAAUACAUGCAAGUCGAGCGAACGGACGAGAAGCUUGCUUCUCUGAUGUUAGCGGCGGACGGGUGAGUAACACGUGGAUAACCUACCUAUAAGACUGGGAUAACUUCGGGAAACCGGAGCUAAUACCGGAUGAUAUUUUGAACCGCAUGGUUCAAAAGUGAAGGACGGUCUUGCUGUCACUUAUAGAUGGAUCCGCGCUGCAUUAGCUAGUUGGUAAGGUAACGGCUUACCAAGGCAACGAUGCAUAGCCGACCUGAGAGGGUGAUCGGCCACACUGGAACUGAGACACGGUCCAGACUCCUACGGGAGGCAGCAGUAGGGAAUCUUCCGCAAUGGGCGAAAGCCUGACGGAGCAACGCCGCGUGAGUGAUGAAGGUCUUCGGAUCGUAAAACUCUGUUAUUAGGGAAGAACAUAUGUGUAAGUAACUGUGCACAUCUUGACGGUACCUAAUCAGAAAGCCACGGCUAACUACGUGCCAGCAACCGCGGUAAUACGUAGGUGGCAAGCGUUAUCCGGAAUUAUUGGGCGUAAAGCGCGCGUAGGCGGUUUUUUAAGUCUGAUGUGAAAGCCCACGGCUCAACCGUGGAGGGUCAUUGGAAACUGGAAAACUUGAGUGCAGAAGAGGAAAGUGGAAUUCCAUGUGUAGCGGUGAAAUGCGCAGAGAUAUGGAGGAACACCAGUGGCGAAGGCGACUUUCUGGUCUGUAACUGACGCUGAUGUGCGAAAGCGUGGGGAUCAAACAGGAUUAGAUACCCUGGUAGUCCACGCCGUAAACGAUGAGUGCUAAGUGUUAGGGGGUUUCCGCCCCUUAGUGCUGCAGCUAACGCAUUAAGCACUCCGCCUGGGGAGUACGACCGCAAGGUUGAAACUCAAAGGAAUUGACGGGGACCCGCACAAGCGGUGGAGCAUGUGGUUUAAUUCGAAGCAACGCGAAGAACCUUACCAAAUCUUGACAUCCUUUGACAACUCUAGAGAUAGAGCCUUCCCCUUCGGGGGACAAAGUGACAGGUGGUGCAUGGUUGUCGUCAGCUCGUGUCGUGAGAUGUUGGGUUAAGUCCCGCAACGAGCGCAACCCUUAAGCUUAGUUGCCAUCAUUAAGUUGGGCACUCUAAGUUGACUGCCGGUGACAAACCGGAGGAAGGUGGGGAUGACGUCAAAUCAUCAUGCCCCUUAUGAUUUGGGCUACACACGUGCUACAAUGGACAAUACAAAGGGCAGCGAAACCGUGAGGUCAAGCAAAUCCCAUAAAGUUGUUCUCAGUUCGGAUUGUAGUCUGCAACUCGACUACAUGAAGCUGGAAUCGCUAGUAAUCGUAGAUCAGCAUGCUACGGUGAAUACGUUCCCGGGUCU